This 76-nucleotide transfer RNA is filed under the name Verrucomicrobiota bacterium. Its description in RNAcentral is "Verrucomicrobia bacterium tRNA-Trp". It matches the Rfam family "tRNA". Rfam says of the family: Transfer RNA (tRNA) molecules are approximately 80 nucleotides in length. Their secondary structure includes four short double-helical elements and three loops (D, anti-codon, and T loops). Lineage: Bacteria; Pseudomonadati; Verrucomicrobiota. RNAcentral also lists the same sequence under 3 other names. The record is from RNAcentral.
ACGGCGUUAGCUCAAUUGGUAGAGUAGCGGUCUCCAAAACCGUUGGUUGUAGGUUCAAGUCCUACACGCCGUGCCA